AUUGAACGCUGGCGGAAUGCUUUACACAUGCAAGUCGAGCGGCAGCGCGGGGGCAACCCUGGCGGCGAGCGGCGAACGGGUGAGUAAUACAUCGGAACGUGUCCUUGAGUGGGGGAUAGCUCGGCGAAAGCCGGAUUAAUACCGCAUAAGCUCUGCGGAGGAAAGCGGGGGACUGGUAACGGCCUCGCGCUGUUGGAGCGGCCGAUGUCGGAUUAGCUAGGUUGGUGGGGUAAAGGCCCACCAAGGCGACGAUCCGUAGCUGGUCUGAGAGGAUGAUCAGCCACACUGGAACUGAGACACGGGUCCAGACUCCUACGGGGAGGCAGCAAUGGGGAAUUUUGGACAAUGGGGGGCAACCCUGAUCCAGCCAUUCCGCGUGAGUGAAGAAGGCCUUCGG
RNAcentral lists this ribosomal RNA (397 nucleotides) under uncultured bacterium. RNAcentral describes it as "bacterial SSU rRNA". It matches the Rfam family "Bacterial small subunit ribosomal RNA", at positions 28 to 421 of the family's 1533-position model. The record is from RNAcentral.